UACAGAGGUCCCAAGCGUUGUUCGGAUUCAUUGGGCGUAAAGGGUGCGUAGGUGGCAUGGUAAGUCGGGUGUGAAAUCCCUCGGCUUAACCGGGGAACUGCGUCUGAUACUGGAUGGCUUGAGUGUGGGAGAGGGAUGCGGAAUUCCAGGUGUAGCGGUGAAAUGCGUAGAUAUCUGGAGGAACACCGGUGGCGAAGGCGGCAUCCUGGACCAUUACUGACACUGAAAAGCGAAAGCCAGGGGAGCAAACGGG
RNAcentral lists this ribosomal RNA (253 nucleotides) under uncultured bacterium. RNAcentral describes it as "partial 16S ribosomal RNA". It matches the Rfam family "Bacterial small subunit ribosomal RNA", at positions 524 to 776 of the family's 1533-position model. The record is from RNAcentral.